GGGGCGUUAGCUCAGCUGGGAGAGCACCUGCUUUGCAAGCAGGGGUCACCGGUUCGAUCCCGGUACGCUCCACCA
Molecule: transfer RNA, 75 nt
Filed under: Paracoccaceae bacterium
Lineage: Bacteria; Pseudomonadati; Pseudomonadota; Alphaproteobacteria; Rhodobacterales; Paracoccaceae
Description: Rhodobacteraceae bacterium (microbial mat metagenome) tRNA-Ala
Rfam family: tRNA
About the family: Transfer RNA (tRNA) molecules are approximately 80 nucleotides in length. Their secondary structure includes four short double-helical elements and three loops (D, anti-codon, and T loops).
Source: RNAcentral